This 258-nucleotide ribosomal RNA is filed under the name uncultured bacterium. RNAcentral's name for it is "partial 16S ribosomal RNA". It matches the Rfam family "Bacterial small subunit ribosomal RNA", at positions 524 to 776 of the family's 1533-position model. The record is from RNAcentral.
UACGUAGGGUGCGAGCGUUUUGUCCGGAAUUAUUGGGCGUAAAGAGCUUGUAGGCGGUUUUGUCGCGUCUGCCGUGAAAAUCCGAGGCUCAACCUCGGACUUGCGGUGGGUACGGGGCAGACUAGAGUGUGGUAGGGGAGACUGGAAUUCCUGGUGUAGCGGUGAAAUGCGCAGAUAUCAGGAGGAACACCGGUGGCGAAGGCGGGUCUCUGGGCAGUAACUGACGCUGAGGAGCGAAAAGCGUGGGGAGCGAACAGG